Salarias fasciatus (jewelled blenny) is the source of this 204-nucleotide long non-coding RNA. RefSeq lists it as uncharacterized. The transcript has 3 exons. NCBI's taxonomy places the organism in Eukaryota, Metazoa, Chordata, Actinopteri, Blenniiformes, Blenniidae. The record is from RefSeq and is a predicted model, not a curated record.
GGGGAAACUACAGCUGUGUUUAUCACCUCCAUGUUUUUGGACACAACUUCUCCUCAGAGAGCCGCCUGCUGUCUCUGUCUGUGUUCGAUCCAACAGCUGUGAUCGUCAGAUGGGUGGUGGUGCCACUGUUUCUCCUGCUUGUGCAGGGGGCGCUGUGGCUGUACUGUAAGGCCAGCAGGGGGCAGACCGGCAGACCGGCAGACC